AAAUUAAAUUAAAUUAAAUACCAUUCUGUAUUUAAGUAUUUUUUUCACAUAUGUUUUAUUUUUUUUUUUGUUAUACCGAAGUACAAGUUUUUGCCCCCACACCACCACACAUUAUAGAAGCUAUUUAUUGGCGAUUUGAAUCUUGACUUGUAGCUGCAAAGUGUCAUAAUCCAAAAAAUCAACUCAAGAAGAACGGCUUUUAAUGAACUACUGGGAAUCGUUAAUGUUUAGAAAUCUUUAUACAACAUAGAAGAACAGCAAAUGUGCGAUAUGAACAUUUUCUAUCCCAUACGAUGCUGGGAUUAAUUUCGUUGGCAUGUGGCGUGUGGCAGCAGCUGAUGCACGUAAGUGACGCUAUCAACCUUGGCAAUACAUUUGGCUACGAAAAUAAUCUCUGACGUAUUGCCGGUUCGAUUGUAUGUAAAAAUAAAUUCGCGAUUAAUCAGACAAAAAUGCAAGAAUACCUAGUAUAAUAAUUUAAUAAGAAAAGUUGCAGCAAUGUACACA
Rhagoletis pomonella (apple maggot) is the source of this 507-nucleotide long non-coding RNA. RefSeq lists it as uncharacterized. NCBI's taxonomy places the organism in Eukaryota, Metazoa, Arthropoda, Insecta, Diptera, Tephritidae. The record is from RefSeq and is a predicted model, not a curated record. The transcript has 3 exons.